This 340-nucleotide long non-coding RNA is filed under the name Zostera marina. RNAcentral describes it as "long non-coding RNA (ZMAR_LNC005889)". The record is from RNAcentral. Lineage: Eukaryota; Viridiplantae; Streptophyta; Magnoliopsida; Alismatales; Zosteraceae.
CCUGUUCCGUAUCCCAUGACCCAGAAGUUAUGGCCGUGCAAAUGCCACGGGUGAGUGCCGCUGUGGUUAGGUUCCAACGUGUUUGCGUUCUGCAAUAUGAGGUCCACCGUCGAGUUAAACUUCAAUCGGUAAAUUGAGUUGGUGUAGGUGGUAUUUGGAUACUUUGGUACGGAGUAGAUGUCGUAGUUCUUAUAGUCGUAGGUGACAGGCGACGAAGUUUGGUUAAAGGCGUUGGUGAAGUUUUUCUUCAAGGAGAUGAGAAAGGGAUAUUCAGGCCAUAUGGAGGACACGUUGUUAACGGACCAUUUCAAUAACCCGUGUUCUCCUGUGUUUUCUGUGC